This 114-nucleotide non-coding RNA is filed under the name Enterococcus diestrammenae. Its description in RNAcentral is "THF riboswitch". It matches the Rfam family "THF (Tetrahydrofolate) riboswitch aptamer". From Rfam's summary of the family: THF riboswitch presents a pseudoknot that joins P1-P2 and the loop of P3 and two THF binding. Lineage: Bacteria; Bacillati; Bacillota; Bacilli; Lactobacillales; Enterococcaceae. The record is from RNAcentral.
CAGAGUAGGAAAUGAAGCGUUAAGUGCUUAGAGGAUGGGAUGUUGCCUCUUUGACGAAGAGAGAUAGGCUUUGGCCGGCUGAGUCUUUCGCGGUUUUGUUUCCGCAUUCGCUGC